AGUCAGGGGUCUGUGAGCAUGUGACAUUUGCAGUAUAGUUUCACAGGCAUUUUGCUCCUUUUUAUUUGGAUCCCUUCUUUAACUCUGGCCUGGCUGCCCCUUAAAAGUGCACUUGAAGUUCCUUUAUUCAGCAGGAAGACUCCAGUGAGCUGUUUAUCUAACAUUGCUUUCUAUCAUUUCUGUUUUCUUUUAUCUUGUGAGCAAUUUUUCCUGCCCGCUAUUCUACCACCUGCAGCUUAGUUGGAUUUCUCUGCAAAUUUAUAUUUUGAAAUACUAUGAUCGGUGUAAUGGUCAACCUAGGUCAUGGGUAUAAUAAAACGUUUAAAG
This 327-nucleotide unclassified non-coding RNA is filed under the name Hevea brasiliensis (rubber tree). Lineage: Eukaryota; Viridiplantae; Streptophyta; Magnoliopsida; Malpighiales; Euphorbiaceae. The record is from RNAcentral.